RNAcentral lists this transfer RNA (72 nucleotides) under Ovis aries (sheep). It matches the Rfam family "tRNA". Rfam says of the family: Transfer RNA (tRNA) molecules are approximately 80 nucleotides in length. Lineage: Eukaryota; Metazoa; Chordata; Mammalia; Artiodactyla; Bovidae. The record is from Rfam by way of RNAcentral.
UCCCUGUAGGCUUAGAUGGUAAAGAGUCUGCCUGCAAUGCAGGAGACCCAGAUUUGAUCUCUGGGUCGGGAA